This is a non-coding RNA of Salmo salar (Atlantic salmon), 54 nucleotides long. Lineage: Eukaryota; Metazoa; Chordata; Actinopteri; Salmoniformes; Salmonidae. The record is from Rfam.
UGCAUUCACUAGUGUAAGUCGCUCUAGAUAAGAGCGUCUGUUAAAUGACAAAAA